GAUGAGCGCUGGCGGCGUGCCUAAUACAUGCCAGUCGAGCGAACAGACGAGGAGCUUGCUCCUCUGACGUUAGCGGCGGACGGGUGAGUAACACGUGGAUAACCUACCUAUAAGACUGGGAUAACUUCGGGAAACCGGAGCUAAUACCGGAUAAUAUAUUGAACCGCAUGGUUCAAUAGUGAAAGACGGUUUUGCUGUCACUUAUAGAUGGAUCCGCGCCGCAUUAGCUAGUUGGUAAGGUAACGGCUUACCAAGGCAACGAUGCGUAGCCGACCUGAGAGGGUGAUCGGCCACACUGGAACUGAGACACGGUCCAGACUCCUACGGGAGGCAGCAGUAGGGAAUCUUCCGCAAUGGGCGAAAGCUUGACGGAGCAACGCCGCGUGAGUGAUGAAGGUCUUCGGAUCGUAAAACUCUGUUAUUAGGGAAGAACAAAUGUGUAAGUAACUAUGCACGUCUUGACGGUACCUAAUCAGAAAGCCACGGCUAACUACGU
This 496-nucleotide ribosomal RNA is filed under the name uncultured bacterium. RNAcentral's name for it is "partial 16S ribosomal RNA". It matches the Rfam family "Bacterial small subunit ribosomal RNA", at positions 28 to 506 of the family's 1533-position model. The record is from RNAcentral.